Molecule: ribosomal RNA, 409 nt
Filed under: uncultured bacterium
Lineage: Bacteria
Description: bacterial SSU rRNA
Rfam family: Bacterial small subunit ribosomal RNA
Source: RNAcentral
GGACAAUGGGCGAAAGCCUGAUCCAACCAAUCCGCGUGUGUGAAGAAGGCCCUCGGGUUGUAAAACACUUUAAGCUGGGAAGAAGGGUUGUAACCUAAUACGUAAAAAAAAUUUGACGUUACCAGCAGAAUAAGCCCCGGCUAACUCUGUGCCAGCAGCCGCGGUAAUACAGAGGGUGCAAGCGUUAAUUGGAAUUACUGGGCGUAAAGCGCGCGUAGGUGGCUUGGUAAGUUGAAUGUGAAAUCCCCGGGCUCAACCUGGGAACUGCAUCCAAAACUUCCUGGCUAGAGUUCGGUAGAGGGUGGUGGAAUUUCCUGUGUAGCGGUGAAAUGCGUAGAUAUAGGAAGGAACCCCAGUGGCGAAGGCGACCCCCUGGGCUGAUACUGACACUGAGGUGCGAAAGCGUGGG